Molecule: ribosomal RNA, 271 nt
Filed under: uncultured bacterium
Lineage: Bacteria
Description: partial 16S ribosomal RNA
Rfam family: Bacterial small subunit ribosomal RNA
Source: RNAcentral
UACGGAGGGUGCAAGCGUUAAUCGGAAUUACUGGGCGUAAAGCGCACGUAGGUGGUUUGUUAAGCUAGCUGUGAAAUCCCCGGGCCCAACCUGGGCACUGCAGUUAGAACUGGCAAGCUAGAGUAGGGUAGAGGGGUGUGGAAUUCCAGGUGUAGCGGUGAAAUGCGUAGAUAUAGGAAGGAACAUCAGUGGCGAAGGCGACCACCUGGACCAAUACUGACACUGAGGUGCGAAAGCGUGGGGAGCAAACGGGAUUAGAUACCCCUGUAGU